GGGGUCGUAGUUAAGUUUGGUUAUAACGCCGGCCUGUCACGUCGGAGGGCGUGGGUUCAAAUCCCAUCGGCCCCGCCA
Molecule: transfer RNA, 78 nt
Filed under: bacterium
Lineage: Bacteria
Also listed under: 4 other names
Description: tRNA-Asp
Rfam family: tRNA
About the family: Transfer RNA (tRNA) molecules are approximately 80 nucleotides in length. Their secondary structure includes four short double-helical elements and three loops (D, anti-codon, and T loops).
Source: RNAcentral